AUUGAACGCUGGCGGCAGGCCUAACACAUGCAAGUCGAACGGUAACAGGAAGAAGCUUGCUUCUUUGCCGACGAGUGGCGGACGGGUGAGUAAUGUCUGGGAAACUGCCUGAUGGAGGGGGAUAACUACUGGAAACGGUAGCUAAUACCGCAUAACGUCGCAAGACCAAAGAGGGGGACCUUCGGGCCUCUUGCCAUCGGAUGUGCCCAGAUGGGAUUAGCUAGUAGGUGGGGUAACGGCUCACCUAGGCGACGAUCCCUAGCUGGUCUGAGAGGAUGACCAGCCACACUGGAAGGGAGACAGGGCCCAGCCUCCUAGGGGAGGCAGCAGGGGGGAAUAUUGCAAAAUGGGCGAAAGCUUGAUGCACCCAUGCCGGUGGUAUGAAGAAGGCUUUGGGUUUGUAAAGUACUUUCAGGGGGGAGGAAGGGAGAAAAGUUAAUCCUUUUGCUCAUGAACUUUCCCCGAAGAAAAACCCCGGCCUACCCCCGUC
This 490-nucleotide ribosomal RNA is filed under the name uncultured bacterium. Its description in RNAcentral is "partial 16S ribosomal RNA". It matches the Rfam family "Bacterial small subunit ribosomal RNA", at positions 30 to 507 of the family's 1533-position model. The record is from RNAcentral.